Molecule: long non-coding RNA, 177 nt
Organism: Sebastes umbrosus (honeycomb rockfish)
Lineage: Eukaryota; Metazoa; Chordata; Actinopteri; Perciformes; Sebastidae
Exons: 4
Source: RefSeq, a predicted model, not a curated record
ACCAUAAAGCAGGGGAUGCUUUAGGGCGUGGCUACCUUGUGAUUGACAGGUCGCUACCACGGCGUUGUCUGGUCUGGGAGUUGUCCGUGUUUUCGUCUUACAACUUUAACCCUUUCAAAGCGUGUUCUCAGUUCAUGGAAGUUGAUUAUAAGAUUUUUUGUCGACUAAAAAUGUCUU